This 789-nucleotide ribosomal RNA is filed under the name Xiphinema italiae. RNAcentral describes it as "eukaryotic LSU rRNA". It matches the Rfam family "Eukaryotic large subunit ribosomal RNA", at positions 373 to 928 of the family's 3401-position model. The record is from RNAcentral. Lineage: Eukaryota; Metazoa; Nematoda; Enoplea; Dorylaimida; Longidoridae.
ACUUUGAAGAGAGAGUUCAAAAGGGCGUGAAACCGCUUAGAAUAAAACGGACGGAGCCGUCUGUAGCCCGUCGGAAUCAGUCCGGAUCGACGCGUGAAAGCGAGUACGACAUUGAAAAACGGAACGAAAGUCCGGUCGUCUCGUAGUAAAAAAAAGUAGCGCUCGUUCGAUGCAUUUCCGAAGGGUAAGCACCGCGACCGAUGUCGAAGGCUAGCGAAGCCGUCGGAUUGAGGUCGAGCUCGUUUACUCGAGUCUCGUUACCAGUCCUUCGGUACGAAUAGAAUUCGUUAGACCCUAGCAUCGAGAAUAAAAACGAACGAACGUCGGUGAACUAUAUACGCUCACCCGUUACGACGGACGUGCGGCCGUUCGAUCGUCGCCUGCCCGCAGGUUACGGUUUGAAUCCGGUUCGUAUCCGAAGUCGUCGGUGACGUUUCGGCGUUCGGGAGUCCGCGGUGUCCGAGUCGGUCACCCGUCCGACCCGUCUUGAAACACGGACCAAGGAGUCUAACGUAAGCGCGAGCUAAUGGGCGGAAAACCCAUAAGCGAAAUAAAAGUAAAGGUCGUUUUGGACGGCCGAGGUACGAUCCCGAAGAACGAAAGUAUCUACGGGCGCAGUACCGUCCCGUCCCGACCGCUUGUCGGUAGGGCGGAGAUAGAGUGCGUACGUUGGGACCCGAAAGAUGGUGAACUAUGCCUGAGCAGAGCGAAGCCAGAGGAAACUCUGGUGGAGGUUCGUAGCGGUUCUGACGUGCAAAUCGAUCGUCAGACUUGGGUAUAGGGGCGAAA